RNAcentral lists this ribosomal RNA (468 nucleotides) under uncultured bacterium. RNAcentral's name for it is "partial 16S ribosomal RNA". It matches the Rfam family "Bacterial small subunit ribosomal RNA", at positions 28 to 507 of the family's 1533-position model. The record is from RNAcentral.
GAUGAACGCUGGCGGCGUGCUUAACACAUGCAAGUCGAACGGAAAGGCCCUGCUUUUGUGGGGUGCUCGAGUGGCGAACGGGUGAGUAACACGUGAGUAAACUGUCCUUGUCUUUGGGAUAACUUCUGGAAAAUGGGGCUCAUACAGGAUAGAAGAUUCUGCUGCAUGGUGGGGGUUGGUAAGUUUCGGCGGUUGGGGAUGGACUCGAGGCUUCCCAGCUUGUUGGUGGGGUAGUGGAUUACCAAGGCUUUGACGGGUAGCCGGCCUGAGAGGGUGACCGGCCACAUUGGUACUGAGAUACGGCCCAGACUCCUACUGGAGGCAGCAGUCGGGAAUAUUGCACAAUGGGCGGAAGCCUGAUGCAGCAACGCAGCGUGCGGGAUGACGUCCUACGGGUGGUAAACCGCUUUCUCCUGUGACGAAGCGUUAGUGACGGUAAUGGGUAAAAAAGCACCGGCUAACUACGUG